GGUUAACGCUGGCGGCGUGCAUAACACAUGCAAGUCGAACGAUGAAACUUAACUGAUUUCUUCGGAAUGAUUUUAAGUGGAUUAGUGGCGGACGGGUGAGUAACGCGUGAGUAACCUGCCUUGGAGAAGGGGAUAGCCUUUGGAAACGAAGAAUAAUACCCUAUGAUAUGAUAAUAUCUCAUGAUAUUAUCAUCAAAGAUUUAUCGCUCUAAGAUGGACUUGCGUCUGAUUAGUUAGUUGGUGAGGUAACAGCUCACCAAGGCAGCGAUCAGUAGCCGGCUUGAGAGAGUGUACGGCCACAUUGGGACUGAGACACGGCCCAGACUCCUACGGGGGGCAGCAGUGGGGAAUUUUGCACAAUGGGGGAAACCCUGAUGCAGCGACGCCGCGUGAUUUAGAAGGCCUUCGGGUUGUAAAAAUCUUUUGUAUGGGAAGAAAAUGACAGUACCAUACGAAUAAGGACCGGCUAAUUACGUG
RNAcentral lists this ribosomal RNA (477 nucleotides) under uncultured bacterium. RNAcentral's name for it is "partial 16S ribosomal RNA". It matches the Rfam family "Bacterial small subunit ribosomal RNA", at positions 28 to 507 of the family's 1533-position model. The record is from RNAcentral.